GAGAAUCAAGUUACAUCAACAAAUCUUCUUGUUGGCUUGAAUUCUCUCCAUGAACAAAGAAACAUAAUUGCUUCAUCAUAUUAUCUUGCCAAAAUACCCUCAUAAGAUACUAUUGAUAAUUACAUACUCUAACCAAGUUUAGGCAUUGCCUAAACGUGCUAACAGGGAUCGCCCUAGUCAUCAUAUUUGCAGGAUUCUCAAGUGUAGACUACUUCUGCAUAACUUCAAUACCAUGUGAUAUAAUGUCUC
This 249-nucleotide long non-coding RNA is filed under the name Carica papaya (papaya). Its description in RNAcentral is "long non-coding RNA (CPAP_LNC006428)". The record is from RNAcentral. Lineage: Eukaryota; Viridiplantae; Streptophyta; Magnoliopsida; Brassicales; Caricaceae.